RNAcentral lists this long non-coding RNA (864 nucleotides) under Cercocebus atys (sooty mangabey). Its description in RNAcentral is "lncRNA (ENSCATG00000045479.1)". Lineage: Eukaryota; Metazoa; Chordata; Mammalia; Primates; Cercopithecidae. The record is from RNAcentral.
CUUAAAAUGGACAGUAGGUGGCACUGUUUAGGAAAAAAUGAGAGUGAGUUUACAAAUUAACCAACUUGGUCUUCGGAGAUUGCACUGAAACUGUUACAGGAUAAAACAGGUUUUUCUUUCUUUCCUUCUUCCCCUUCCAAGGAUCAUCCGAGGACUGGACUUCUUUGGAACUCGACAGGGCUUUGAAGACUGGGUUUUUAGUCCUUAUCACAUAUAUGGGCUAUAAUGAAUAAGUCGAAACAGAAAAGUCGAAUAAACUGGAAAUGAUGCUUUCAGCACGUCGCACAAGCACACCGUUGCUUCAUGGCAUGCCUCCAGCUGAACGACCUGAGGUGCGAGGAGGUCAAGCGACCCCUCCAGAAAAAAACAACUAACAAAACAUACAAAGGAAAAAGACCAAUGAGGAAUUCAUCAGUAUUUUCUUUCCGAAGUAAUUUUAGGGAUACAGAGGAAGUCAAAUUCAAAACAUUUUAUCUUUCCCAGGAAACUGGAUUAUAGUAUAUUUAUUGCCUUUUAAAUCUGAUGGUUCAUCUUGUGGCUUCUCAUUGUGGCAAAGGACCCAACUGGAUCAUGCUAAGAUAGGUUUUGGGAGAUAAUUCGCUAAAGUGCCUUAUAAAAAGAGAAGAACGGAAUUGAUGAUAAACACUUUUGUUUUCUUUUGUGUGUGUUUUCUUUACUAGCUUAUCUAUUUCUGACUAUUUUGUUUAGUUCACAGAUUAAUAACACAAUUCUUACUGUUUAAAGAGAAUAAAGAAAAAUAAUAAAAAUUCAAUAGUUUUGAGUAUUCCUUUAGAACAGGUAGGUUCUGAAGAGAAGAAAGUAAACCAAAUAAUGUUCUGACCCCCCAAACUGAAAAUACUUCCA